Molecule: ribosomal RNA, 260 nt
Filed under: Leptasterias camtschatica
Lineage: Eukaryota; Metazoa; Echinodermata; Asteroidea; Forcipulatida; Asteriidae
Description: partial 28S ribosomal RNA
Rfam family: Eukaryotic large subunit ribosomal RNA
Source: RNAcentral
AAGAGCCCAGCGCCGAAUCCCCGGGCCCCGCCGAGGGCCCGAGGGAACUGUGGCGUAAGGAAGUCCGGCCCCGCGGCCGCGCCGGCGCCGAGGUCCUUCUGAUUGAGGCGUGCUCCGUCCCAGGGCGGGUGUCAGGCCCAGGCGGGCGCCUGCCGGUCGCGGACCAGGGCUUCCGGGAGUCGGGUUGUUUUGUAGCGCAGCCCAAAGGUGGGUGGUAAACUCCAUCCAAGGCUAAAUACCUUGCACGAGACCGAUAGAGC